AAGACUAUACUUUCAGGGAUCAUUUCUAUAGUUUUUAACUAGGAAAUGUGUUUCGAAAGUGUUGCGUCUCCCAAACCACGAUGAUGAGUGAAAGUGUGCUCCUCUGAGCGUGAAUCGGAUGAGAAUCUAUGAUUUAAUCACGGAUUUUUAUCAUUGAUGAACGUUCACUGAUUCUUUCUGAAUCUUUGAGGAGGAGUGCAUGAUCCGAGUGGUU
Small nucleolar RNA from Cyprinus carpio carpio, 214 nucleotides. The record is from Ensembl. NCBI's taxonomy places the organism in Eukaryota, Metazoa, Chordata, Actinopteri, Cypriniformes, Cyprinidae.